Non-coding RNA from Anas platyrhynchos (mallard), 704 nucleotides. NCBI's taxonomy places the organism in Eukaryota, Metazoa, Chordata, Aves, Anseriformes, Anatidae. The record is from RefSeq and is a predicted model, not a curated record.
UACAAAAUAGUACUUGUUAAAAAGUAGUAAUAUACAUCAUUUUGGAUUAGCAGGGAUCCAGAUUCUGUAUUGCCUUACAUCCAUAAAGUCUUCUGCCCACUCGGUCCAUCCAGGGCUGUCAUGUUUUUGGAACAAAGUGGGCUGGUUUCAAGGGCUCACUGUGAUGCCAGUGGGUGGAUUUAUGGAUUUUUGCAACCCUUUUUUCCACUGAAUAUGGGUGGAUGUGUGUUCGGUAUUUGUCCACCAGAGGACUCAUUUCAUGACAAGUCACAGCAAAGUUGUGCUGCAUCCCAUCGUCUCCACUCCACUCCUUCUCAUGCAAGAUCGAGGCCAUUUGCCAUUAUUGCCACCAGGUGCAGCAGAGAGGGACUUUCUGAUGAUGCCCUCUGUGACAGUAUCUCCUUGAAAUCUGUAUUGAUGGCACAGAGAACUGAUCUCAGGGAAUCCAUAACAGGAAAAGUUGGAAGAGUGAUUCAGUUCUCCAUUCACCUCCUCGAUGUUGGCACUUACGAAAUUUCCCUUGUUUAAAAAAGCCUUUACAAAAUUCCGGGGAAGGGACUGAGCUUUCCAGCACAGAUGUCAAUCCCCUGCCUUAGUCCUGCUGAAGGAUUUUUGUGAAAGGCUUAGAGUCCAGUUCUUAGCUUCAUUGGGAAUUGGGAAGGGCUCCAAAUAAACUCCAGCCUGUGCAGGCUCCUUCAAUACAA